UGGCCACUUCAAAUCUUUCUCCGAUGCUG
RNAcentral lists this non-coding RNA (29 nucleotides) under Mus musculus (house mouse). The record is from RNAcentral. Lineage: Eukaryota; Metazoa; Chordata; Mammalia; Rodentia; Muridae.